UCCGCAAGUCAGCCCUUCCUAUUCAAAAGCUAAGUUCUACUUCCUUAUCUCCGGUGAUGUGCAGUUGAUAUGGAUGCGAACUGAAUUUAGUACUUGAGACAGCAAAUUACCUUGAAGGUUUUCAAGCAGAUGGGUUGUUGUUGGGGUUGAAUGUAUUGUAGGAUAAUUGUAAUGAAUUGAAUGUGCCAUGUUGAAACGAAUGGACAAGACUUGAACUGAAAUUAGCAAAGUUUAAGGACAGAGCUUAUCUUACAGUUGUUUGGUUAGAUUGAUGUAUUGUUCGUUGUAGUUGAUUACUCCAUAAAACAGGUGAUUUUCUCUACAAUGGAGCCUAGAGAGA
Molecule: long non-coding RNA, 340 nt
Filed under: Salvia miltiorrhiza (redroot sage)
Lineage: Eukaryota; Viridiplantae; Streptophyta; Magnoliopsida; Lamiales; Lamiaceae
Description: long non-coding RNA (SMIL_LNC008981)
Source: RNAcentral